UACAGAGGUCUCAAGCGUUGUUCGGAUUCAUUGGGCGUAAAGCGCGCGCAGGUGGUUUCUUAAGUCUGAUGUGAAAGCCCACGGCUCAACCGUGGAGGGUCAUUGGAAACUGGGGAACUUGAGUGCAGAAGAGGAAAGUGGAAUUCCUGGUGUAGCAGUGAAAUGCGUAGAUAUCAGGAGGAAUACCGAUGGCGAAGGCAGGUCUCUGGGCUAGAACUGACGCUCAUGCACGAAAGCGUGGGGAGCAAACAGG
This 253-nucleotide ribosomal RNA is filed under the name uncultured bacterium. RNAcentral's name for it is "partial 16S ribosomal RNA". It matches the Rfam family "Bacterial small subunit ribosomal RNA", at positions 524 to 776 of the family's 1533-position model. The record is from RNAcentral.